This 235-nucleotide ribosomal RNA is filed under the name uncultured bacterium. RNAcentral's name for it is "partial 16S ribosomal RNA". It matches the Rfam family "Bacterial small subunit ribosomal RNA", at positions 116 to 334 of the family's 1533-position model. The record is from RNAcentral.
CGUGACCAACCUGUCUUUAGGUGAGGGACAACCUGGGGGAAACCUGGGCUAAUACCGCAUAAAGUCUUUCCUUCACAUGGGAGAGAGACCAAAGGGGGCCUCUGCUUGCAAGCUCUCGCCUAAUGAGGGGGUCGCGUCGUAUCAGCUUGUUGGUGAGGUAACGGCUCACCAAGGCUAUGACGCGUAGCGGGUCUGAGAGGACGAUCCGCCACAUUGGGAUUGAGAUACGGCCCAG